GAGUUUGAUCCUGGCUCAGGACGAACGCUGGCGGCGUGCUUAACACAUGCAAGUCGAACGAUGAACCGGUUUCGGCCGGGGAUUAGUGGCGAACGGGUGAGUAACACGUGGGCAAUCUGCCCUGCACUCUGGGACAAGCCCUGGAAACGGGGUCUAAUACCGGAUAUGACACGCUCCCGCAUGGGAUGCGUGUGGAAAGCUCCGGCGGUGCAGGAUGAGCCCGCGGCCUAUCAGCUUGUUGGUGGGGUGAUGGCCUACCAAGGCGACGACGGGUAGCCGGCCUGAGAGGGCGACCGGCCACACUGGGACUGAGACACGGCCCAGACUCCUACGGGAGGCAGCAGUGGGGAAUAUUGCACAAUGGGCGAAAGCCUGAUGCAGCGACGCCGCGUGAGGGAUGACGGCCUUCGGGUUGUAAACCUCUUUCAGCAGGGAAGAAGCGAGAGUGACGGUACCUGCAGAAGAAGCGCCGGCUAACUACGUGCCAGCAGCCGCGGUAAUACGUAGGGCGCAAGCGUUGUCCGGAAUUAUUGGGCGUAAAGAGCUCGUAGGCGGCUUGUCGCGUCGGAUGUGAAAGCCCGGGGCUUAACUCCGGGUCUGCAUUCGAUACGGGCAGGCUAGAGUUCGGUAGGGGCGAUCGGAAUUCCUGGUGUAGCGGUGAAAUGCGCAGAUAUCAGGAGGAACACCGGUGGCGAAGGCGGAUCUCUGGGCCGAUACUGACGCUGAGGAGCGAAAGCGUGGGGAGCGAACAGGAUUAGAUACCCUGGUAGUC
RNAcentral lists this ribosomal RNA (772 nucleotides) under uncultured bacterium. RNAcentral describes it as "bacterial SSU rRNA". It matches the Rfam family "Bacterial small subunit ribosomal RNA", at positions 9 to 795 of the family's 1533-position model. The record is from RNAcentral.